UCUGAAUUUUGCCAGUUAACUCUGAUUGUAUAAUUUGGUUUGCCAUUAGGAUUGUAGGGGGAGGUAACACAGUACCUGUGUAAUUCAUACUUUUAAGCCAUCAUGAGUAUAAAAGUGCUGUGGGAACUUCUUCACAGUGUCUCUGCUUAUUAGUGUAAUUUUUUUAGUGAAAAAUACAGGUAGUAUGAAAAGUUGAGCACAAAUUUAUAGAUUGAGUGUUAUCCAUGAAAGCAGCUAGGUUGGAUGUGCAUACUAACAAAAUCACAGUUUUGACGAGGUACCUAGAUAAAUUUAUUUUUACGUUAUGUGAAAUAGUUCAAAAGUUACCCCCUCAUGUAAGCAAUUCCUUAUGGAAGCAGAGUCUCUGCUGAAAUACUCAUAGUAUUUCAACAACUGAAAUAAGUCUCUAACAAUAAUAUUUUACCUUGACAGAAAUGUUUUUUUUCAUUAUUCUUUUGCAGCAUUAACUAAAUCUCCCAAAAGAUUGUUUAAGAUACGUGACGGAAGGUUGGCUACCCCGAACCUUUUCUAGAGGCUUCAUGAGGAUACAGCACUUGCACACAAGGAUGCCCAGCACUGUUGUUACUGCUGAUUUACCAUGAUGAAAGAACAGUAACUGAUGUUUUUAUAAUCCACUCUCAUUCCAUACACAGACAUGCCGGUGUUGACGAGAGGUGAAAUUGUGUAAUUCAAAUUUUGACAUCAAAAUUGUAGCCAAGAUUACUCAACUGUUCUUUGAGAGCUAGACCUGGCUUCAAAUCAGCUGAUUACCAAAGAAGAUUACAUAGCCUUGUACAUUGAAGGAAAUUUUAAAUCA
Molecule: long non-coding RNA, 817 nt
Organism: Ficedula albicollis (Collared flycatcher)
Lineage: Eukaryota; Metazoa; Chordata; Aves; Passeriformes; Muscicapidae
Exons: 3
Source: RefSeq, a predicted model, not a curated record